AAUGAAGCCAAAACAGCUCUGUCAGCUUUUAUAUCUCCUCCUAAUGUUUGCACAAACAUAUACGGCUUUGAGGAAGUGAAUAUAACCAUAUUACUCUCACUGCAGUUUUAAAUCAGGGCAGUACUUAGUGUAGCUGUUAAGGUGGGAGGAUCUCUUGCUGAAUGAAUGAACAAUUUUCCCAGAUAUGUUUUGGUGGCACAGUCUGACGCACUGUGUUACCCAUGUGGAUGGUCUCCAUGCUGAUACCUGACUCUCUUGGACGUCUUUGGUGGAUUCCUCCGACAGCCACCUCCAGGCUCACUGGAGCGCAAGGGUACAGGGACUCCGCUGCCAGCGCCAGCAAGUACGUUUGAAGCAAGGCUGAGGCAAGGCCAUCAAAAUGGAGAUAUGCUGAAGAGGGCACGUGGUCUCUCUUUUAAAUGGGAUGUCCAGCAAAUGGAAGGACAAUCUAAAUCCCACCAAGGGCCGGGUUCCUCAUGUGGAAGACUGGUUGAAGGGCUGCUUUAAAAAAUGUUCCUAGUGGACAGAGGGAAAAAGAAGACAUUUCAGAGGCUGGAGUUACAGCAAAUACUGCUUUCAGGACAUGGAAGAGAAAGGGGGAUGGAAAGCACAUUAGGCAGGCUACGUCUCCAGAGACCUCCUCCUUUACUCCCCGGCCUCAGUGCAGCAGUACCAGGUUGAAACCCAGCACAGGAAGAUGAAUGAAGUGGAGACGAGAGCCCCUGAGGACAAAGAGCAGCACAGCUGGAAGAAGAGGACGUUUUCUCAGAGGUACCACCAGUGCGCUACCACCUAGGAACGUCUACCUGGGGUGGUGGCACAUCAACUGGAAAUACCUACCUGCUGCCCCAUGGGCAUGAAAUACCUGCAUGCCUGCCAUAUACAGCUUUGCAGUCCCACCUGAGUUGGUGAUACCUAUAACGUUGGUACCUCUUCAGAUGCAACUGUCGUGCCCCUCUUCCGGCUUGUGGGCUGGAGCAGUGGGGCCAUCGUUCACAUGAGUAGGCCUCAUCGUUCACAUGAGGAGCAAGAAAGUGGGCAACCAAGCUGAUGUUGGCAGCAAACGCAGGCUAAGUCCAGGCUACAGCAGGUCUGAGAGGAGGUAAAUUCA
Molecule: long non-coding RNA, 1111 nt
Filed under: Struthio camelus australis
Lineage: Eukaryota; Metazoa; Chordata; Aves; Struthioniformes; Struthionidae
Description: lncRNA (ENSSCUG00000000879.1)
Source: RNAcentral